CAGUAGCCACGGGAAUACGUAGGUGGCGAGCGUUGUCCGGAAUCAUUGGGCGUAAAGGGAGCGCAGGCGGGCAUGUAAGUCUUUCUUAAAAGUGCGGGGCUCAACCCCGUGAUGGGAAAGAAACUACAUGUCUUGAGUACAGGAGAGGAAAGCGGAAUUCCCAGUGUAGCGGUGAAAUGCGUAGAUAUUGGGAGGAACACCAGUGGCGAAGGCGGCUUUCUGGACUGCAACUGACGCUGAGGCUCGAAAGCCAGGGGAGCGAACGGGAUUAGAUACCCGUGUAGUCCCUGUCUCUUAUACA
This 301-nucleotide ribosomal RNA is filed under the name uncultured bacterium. RNAcentral describes it as "partial 16S ribosomal RNA". It matches the Rfam family "Bacterial small subunit ribosomal RNA", at positions 509 to 809 of the family's 1533-position model. The record is from RNAcentral.